UGGCAGGUUGCCCGAGCGGCCAAAGGGAGCGGACUGUAAAUCCGUCGGCUCACGCCUACGUUGGUUCGAAUCCAACACCUGCCACCC
RNAcentral lists this transfer RNA (87 nucleotides) under Longimycelium tulufanense. RNAcentral describes it as "tRNA-Tyr". It matches the Rfam family "tRNA". Rfam says of the family: Transfer RNA (tRNA) molecules are approximately 80 nucleotides in length. Their secondary structure includes four short double-helical elements and three loops (D, anti-codon, and T loops). Lineage: Bacteria; Bacillati; Actinomycetota; Actinomycetes; Pseudonocardiales; Pseudonocardiaceae. The record is from RNAcentral.